UUGAACGCUGGCGGCAGGCUUAACACAUGCAAGUCGAGCGGUAGCACAGGGGAGCUUGCUCCCUGGGUGACGAGCGGCGGACGGGUGAGUAAUGUCUGGGAAACUGCCUGAUGGAGGGGGAUAACUACUGGAAACGGUAGCUAAUACCGCAUAACGUCGCAAGACCAAAGAGGGGGACCUUCGGGCCUCUUGCCAUCAGAUGUGCCCAGAUGGGAUUAGCUAGUAGGUGGGGUAAUGGCUCACCUAGGCGACGAUCCCUAGCUGGUCUGAGAGGAUGACCAGCCACACUGGAACUGAGACACGGUCCAGACUCCUACGGGAGGCAGCAGUGGGGAAUAUUGCACAAUGGGCGCAAGCCCGAUGCAGCCAUGCCGCGUGUGUGAAGAAGGCCUUCGGGUUGUAAAGCACUUUCAGCGAGGAGGAAGGUGGUGAGCUUAAUACGUUCAUCAAUUGACGUUACUCGCAGAAGAAGCACCGGCUAACUCCGUG
Molecule: ribosomal RNA, 489 nt
Filed under: uncultured bacterium
Lineage: Bacteria
Description: partial 16S ribosomal RNA
Rfam family: Bacterial small subunit ribosomal RNA
Source: RNAcentral